RNAcentral lists this unclassified non-coding RNA (955 nucleotides) under Hevea brasiliensis (rubber tree). The record is from RNAcentral. Lineage: Eukaryota; Viridiplantae; Streptophyta; Magnoliopsida; Malpighiales; Euphorbiaceae.
AAAAAAAAAAAAGCCACAUGAAAAAAGCAUUACUUUUCCCUUCUAUGACUUACGAAAACGACUUUUCUUUUAAUUUAGCUAAGAGUUUGAAUCCUUACCAUUUUCCAUCAUUUGUGAAGUAUAAACAAACCCAUUCCACUAACAUUUACAAAAGGAAAUCCAAAAUAACAUUGGGUUCCAUAAUCUUCAAUGGACUGAGCGGCUUUCCACUCAUCCCAAACUUUAAAAAUACCAUUAGAUACUCUCAACUUCCUUAUGUGUCCUGAAAUUUGAUAUCCUUUUAAAAAAUAUAUAUUUUUCCCAAAUAGAUCAUCAGAAUGAUUUUCGAUAAAUGAUCAAUUUACAUAUAAUUUUGCCUAGGUUUUGACUGCAUCAAUAAGCAUAUCAGUCAUCGCAUGCUCUUUAAGUAAAACCAGACAUUAUUGCAUUUGCAAGACAAAAUCACAACUAGAAAUCAGAAGAGGUCAUCUUUUCAAAGAUUAAAAAUGCAAUUCUCACGGAGAGAAGCCAUCUUUCUUUUUAUUUACUUCUCAUACACUUAAGUGAAAUAGUGUGUAAAGGCAAGAAAAGAAGCAGUAAAGCCAGAAGCAAGAAGAAUACAGAAAUUACAGGUAGACCAAUAGUGAGCUAACAGUUAGAAAAGUUGUUAGUUUAUUAGAUGAUCUGUUAGCUUAGCUGUUGUAAACUGUAUAUAGCUGAGGUUAGCUUUCACUGUAAUUCAUUUAGUGACCAAUGAAAGAACUUUCUUCUGGAAACCUUUGAGCCUUUCUUUUACUUUUUCUCUCACUUCCUCUUUUCUCACAUAUUUUCCCUCUGAUUCUCAGGUUCCAAGCAGAUGUUGGGUUAAAUCCGAUUUUAACAUGUUGGGUUAAAUCCGAUUUUAACUCAAAUUAUUCGGUAUUGAGCUUGUUAAUUCCAGCAAUUAUUUUCUUUAAUUCAUCAUCAUGACUGUCAA